This 999-nucleotide long non-coding RNA is filed under the name Equus caballus (horse). Its description in RNAcentral is "lncRNA (ENSECAG00000055955.1)". The record is from RNAcentral. Lineage: Eukaryota; Metazoa; Chordata; Mammalia; Perissodactyla; Equidae.
GUCCACAGAGAACGGGAGAAUUGAUUGGUGUGGAAAGCCCACACGUUUGGUGUUAGAAGUUUUGUAAGUAGGGAAACAGAUCCUAGGGCGAGCGGGGUUUUAGGAGUGUGUGUGUGGGGCUUGUGGGAGUGUGUGUGUGUACAUGUGUGGGGGUUGUAGGAGUGUAUGUUUGUGUGUGGCUGGGUUAUGCUGCAUCAACAAACGACCUCGCAUCUCUCAGCGGCUUUACUUACACAAGAAUGUAGUGUUCCUCACAAUGAAGGUUGGCAGCGGUCUCCACUCUGCAUAGUCACUCAGGCAUCCGGGCUAACAGAGGCCCCAUUUCAGCAUGGGUUCCUUCAUCACUGGGACGUGGAAAGAAAUGGUAAGUCAUCUAAUUAAAGGGGACAGGGAGCACUGUCCUUCCAGAAGGCCUGGGGAGCAGAACACAGUGAAUAGCCCGAUGGACGACCGCUGGGGACACGAGUCUCGGGGACCAGUUAGAAGGACUUUCUUUCCUCUCUCAGUGUCUGGGAACAGGGCAGGAUCCAAGACCAGAGCUUAGGCUGGGAAGCAGGACUGGAAAGGCUGAAUGUGCCCCCGGUCUCGGACGUGCUGUCAGUCUCUCUUCCUGGGGAGAAGUCUGGGUAUGCUCCGAGGCACCUGGAUUAAAUAAAAUGUCAACUUGAGAAGUACCAAUCUUUCUUGUAUGUUCUAAGAGAAGGGAGUCCAUUCUUCAUGUUAGUCUUGGGGGCGUCUCCAGGGGCAGGUGUGGGGGUGGUAAUGGGAGGCUGUAUGGGCUACCGAGCGGGGACCCCACUGUCCCCGGGUCAGACGGGUCAGCCACCGUCUAGCCCUGUGGCCUCGGGGAGGCAGUGCGUCUCUCCUUAUUUGCCCAUCUGUAAAGUGGGCUGAUAACCAUCCCCACCACUGGAGCAGCUGGGAAGACUGACUGAGAUUGUGCCUGGAGCACCUGGUGCCAGGCCUGGCUGGGGAGCAGACGCUGGAUAGGCCAGUGAU